ACGCUGGCGGCGUGCUUAACACAUGCAAGUCGAACGAUGAAGCCUAGCUUGCUAGGUGGAUUAGUGGCGAACGGGUGAGUAAUACGUGAGUAACCUACCUUUAACUCUGGGAUAAGCCUGGGAAACUGGGUCUAAUACCGGAUACGACCAAUCUCCGCAUGGGGUGUUGGUGGAAAGCGUUAUGUAGUGGUUAUAGAUGGGCUCACGGCCUAUCAGCUUGUUGGUGAGGUAACGGCUCACCAAGGCGACGACGGGUAGCCGGCCUGAGAGGGUGACCGGCCACACUGGGACUGAGACACGGCCCAGACUCCUACGGGAGGCAGCAGUGGGGAAUAUUGCACAAUGGGCGCAAGCCUGAUGCAGCGACGCCGCGUGAGGGAUGACGGCCUUCGGGUUGUAAACCUCUGUUAGCAGGGAAGAAGAGAAAUUGACGGUACCUGCAGAGAAAGCGCCGGCUAACUACGUGCCAGCAGCCGCGGUAAUACGUAGGGCGCGAGCGUUGUCCGGAAUUAUUGGGCGUAAAGAGCUUGUAGGCGGUUUGUCGCGUCUGCUGUGAAAGGCCGGGGCUUAACCCCGUGUAUUGCAGUGGGUACGGGCAGACUAGAGUGCAGUAGGGGAGACUGGAAUUCCUGGUGUAGCGGUGGAAUGCGCAGAUAUCAGGAGGAACACCGAUGGCGAAGGCAGGUCUCUGGGCUGUAACUGACGCUGAGAAGCGAAAGCAUGGGGAGCGAACAGGAUUAGAUACCCUGGUAGUCCAUGCCGUAAACGUUGGGCACUAGGUGUGGGGGACAUUCCACGUUUUCCGCGCCGUAGCUAACGCAUUAAGUGCCCCGCCUGGGGAGUACGGCCGCAAGGCUAAAACUCAAAGAAAUUGACGGGGGCCCGCACAAGCGGCGGAGCAUGCGGAUUAAUUCGAUGCAACGCGAA
RNAcentral lists this ribosomal RNA (927 nucleotides) under uncultured bacterium. Its description in RNAcentral is "bacterial SSU rRNA". It matches the Rfam family "Bacterial small subunit ribosomal RNA", at positions 33 to 965 of the family's 1533-position model. The record is from RNAcentral.